This 232-nucleotide long non-coding RNA is filed under the name Daucus carota (carrot). Its description in RNAcentral is "long non-coding RNA (DCAR_LNC002139)". Lineage: Eukaryota; Viridiplantae; Streptophyta; Magnoliopsida; Apiales; Apiaceae. The record is from RNAcentral.
AGCUGCUCAAUCAUAGAGAGGCAAGAAGGGGGAAUGGAAUAAAGUAGGCUAUAGUGACGCUUGGCGCAACUAAGUCUUUUAAUUGUAGCAGCCAGCACCACGGUUCGAGCUCAACCGAGCUGGGGAGAUGCUGGGCACCCCAACAAUCCCCCCCCCAGCAUCUGCCAGCACUAACACGGCUGCACAGCAUGCCUUCCCGGGGAAUCGAACCCGUGACCUGCUCUGAUACCAA